Neofelis nebulosa (Clouded leopard) is the source of this 609-nucleotide long non-coding RNA. RefSeq lists it as uncharacterized. The record is from RefSeq and is a predicted model, not a curated record. The transcript is spliced from 2 exons. Lineage: Eukaryota; Metazoa; Chordata; Mammalia; Carnivora; Felidae.
AGCACAGUGGAGAAUGUCACUUGUUCUCUUAAUCUCGCUUUCUGGUUUUACUGGAAAUUUAGGCUUGACCAUGAAGGCAUUCUGUGACUACAUUUUUACCUGCCCUCUCAGGGAGGAAUGAGGGCAUCUGGUUCUCAGAAAACAACUCCACGCCUCAUAUAUUAUGGAAGAGUAUGUAACGGGAAUGGAUGACGGACCUGAGGGGAUUUCAGGGCUGGAAUGUGCUGGAUACGCCUUCGGUACUUCCUCAGACCCUCCUGAAUUCACCUGCUUUAUCAGAUUCUGCUGGCUUCACCUGCAACUUGGGCCCCAAGCUGAUUGCCCUCUCUUGGUCAUCAUGCCUCUCUCUCAUAGGUUGAAACCCAGUCCCGCGUGUGAUGGCAUUUGGUGAUGAGGCCUUUGGGAGCCCUCACGAAUGGGACCAGCACCCCAUAAAAAGAGAUGCCAGAGAGACGAUCUCUCUCCACCACGUGAGGUCACAGCAAGAAGGUGGCCAUCUGCAAACCAGGAGGGGGGGGGUCAUCACCAGGACGUGACCAUGCUGGCACCCUGAUCUUGGACUUCCCACCUUCCAAAACCAUGGGAAAUAAAUUCCUGUUGUUUAAGCCA